Molecule: long non-coding RNA, 1822 nt
Organism: Marmota monax (woodchuck)
Lineage: Eukaryota; Metazoa; Chordata; Mammalia; Rodentia; Sciuridae
Exons: 3
Source: RefSeq, a predicted model, not a curated record
GACCAGUCAGAAUUUACGAGGGUAAAGUACCAGAAGCUCUCGAUAUCCAGGUUAUAGGUCUAAAUUCUUACUUGGCUUGUUAAGCCUUUUUUAGUCCCAUGAAUUAGAACCCCAUGAGGACCUGGCUUUGCUGAAGAGGUAAGAGUUUAUUUAUAAUUAAUGCAUGACAAAAUCAGUCCUCCUGGCAGUUAAUUAUAUGCACAUUUAAUUUAUAAGGUACCUAAGCAUUUCAGUGUUAUUCUCAUUUCACUUCAGUUCUUCAAAGACCUAUCCUGGCCAAAUAUUGAUUGUAAUAUUUAGAAAAAGUCUGGCCACUUCUUUUUCUGAUUACGAACAAGUCUGAUCAUGGUUGAAGAGCCACUUUUUUUUUUUUUUUUUUUGGUGAGGAGGGUGAGGAGUUACCAGGGAUUGAACUCAGGGGCACUCGCCCACUGAGCCACAUCCCCAGCCCUAUUUUGUAUUUUAUUUAGAAACAGGGUCUCACUAAGCUGCUUAGUGCCUCCCUUUUACUGAGGCUGGCUUUGAAAUCUUCCUGCUUCAGUCUCCCAAAUCGCUGGGAUUAUAGGCAUGCACUGCACCUGGCCAAAGAGCCACUUCUUUUAAAAGCUUUGUCUACCUGUUUGUUAGUAGAGAUUUAACAAAUAUUUGUUAAAUAAAUGAAAAAAGAAUCAAAGAUCAAUUCUAUUUCACAGCAUUUAGCCAAUUCAUUUCUGUCCAGGAAGAAUGGGCAUAAACACUUGCCUUCUAAUGUGGCUAAUCUCAGCAUUACACGUGAUGUGUCAUCCAAACAUCCAAAGGAAUUACCAUCCCCCAUUUUAUUAAUUAAUCUGUGAGCACAACUUUAGGGUGAAUUUCUGUGUUGUAUAAUGGACCCAUUAUAUCUAUAUCAGGAUUUCCUAAUAUGGGAAAUAUUGAAAUUUUGGACCAGAUAAUUCUUUGCUAUGAGGGACCCGCCUGUACACUGGAGGAUGUUUAGUAGCAUUCUGACCUUUGUCUACUAGAUACCAGGAGGAACCUCUUCCCUUGCCUCAUACCCAGUUAUGACAAUGCAAAAUGUUUUUAGAUAUUACCAAAUGUCUUCUGCUGAGAAUCAUCCUCAGUUAGGAAAAACUCUUUUAUAUUUUAUAUAGAAGCAUAAUAUGUGGGUUGGGGAUAUAGCUCAGUAGUAGAGCACUUACCUAACAUGUGCCAAGUCCUGGGUUCAAUUCCCAGUACCGCAAAAGUAAAAAAAUUAAAAAAGAGUAAUAUGUGAUUAUGCCAUUUUAAACAAUACUAAAAUUGGGGGGGGGAACAAUAAUCUUUGUUGUUGUUGUUUUGUUUUAUUUUGUUUUCUGUUUAGAGAAGGUGUUCUGUAACAUUCUGCUCCAAGGAACACAUGCCGAAUGGAUUUUUCUCUGAGAAGGAUUGGACAAAGUAGGCAGGGCCUGUCUCAGCUGGCCUCACCAUCUCAAUUCUGUCUACCUGCAUGCAGCAUGGGAGAGCUAAUGGACCACUCAUUCACAGGAUCCCUUUGAGACAUUCCUGGAAAAGCAGCACAGCCCAUGAACAUCAGGAAGGCAUGCUGACCUCAGGCAAUCUGGCAAAAUACUGUGGACAGCAGUGAGGUAAAAAACCUUAUUAGCAGUCAAGACUCUCCAGUCAAACAGCUUUGAUCCACACUAUAGAUUCCCUCUGAGUAGGUAGGAUGGCUGCAUAUUACGUAUAGGUCUAGGCAUUAUAGGUGACUUUAUGAUUUAUAUAGGGAAAUAAAUUUACAAGAAACAUUUAGAAGACCAGAGUUAGGAUUUCUUGCCCAUAAAAAUGAUGUCAUAUGAAUCCCUAA